UCUGCUCUGAGCCAGCAUCUCGUAGGCCGGGGCCUUUGUCAGCCGCAGGUCGGGGGUUCAAUUCCCCCCUGCGGCU
This 76-nucleotide transfer RNA is filed under the name Methanobacteriota archaeon. RNAcentral's name for it is "Euryarchaeota archaeon tRNA-Thr". Lineage: Archaea; Methanobacteriati; Methanobacteriota. The record is from RNAcentral.